This 125-nucleotide ribosomal RNA is filed under the name Notechis scutatus (mainland tiger snake). The record is from RNAcentral. Lineage: Eukaryota; Metazoa; Chordata; Lepidosauria; Squamata; Elapidae.
AUCUACCAAGGUUUCAGCAAGUUGAGAGAACUGACCAACUAUGCUUAGACUCAAACGUUAAGUGGGGCUGGAGCUGGUUAGUACUAGGAUGGGAGACCACCAAGAAAUCCUCAAGCCUGUAGAUG